CCAUAGCCCCGAUAGUAGCGGCAUCCUUUUUUGUUAUUGCGAUUGCUAAAAAGUUCAACAGAUUGCUUCACUUCGUUCGCAAUGACAAAAAAGAUAUAGCGGAUAGCGGGAUUAGCU
Molecule: small RNA, 117 nt
Filed under: Epilithonimonas hominis
Lineage: Bacteria; Pseudomonadati; Bacteroidota; Flavobacteriia; Flavobacteriales; Weeksellaceae
Description: Chryseobacterium hominis Flavo-1 RNA
Rfam family: Flavo-1 RNA
Source: RNAcentral